Phyllopteryx taeniolatus (common seadragon) is the source of this 1268-nucleotide long non-coding RNA. RefSeq lists it as uncharacterized. Lineage: Eukaryota; Metazoa; Chordata; Actinopteri; Syngnathiformes; Syngnathidae. The record is from RefSeq and is a predicted model, not a curated record. The transcript is spliced from 2 exons.
ACACGCACACACACAUCUCGAUGCGCGUCAGGCGAGGCAAUGAACUUGGAACUUAGAUCCCACGUUGUCAUGCAGAUGGGUGAAGUUGCACUUUUGAACUGAAACAUCUAAGUGAAGAACGUUUGGAGACGUCACGACGAGACAUUCUUGAUGUUGUAUUUUAUUUGUUCUUUGGUCGUCGUAGCAGUUUUCCUAUGAUGUCAUUAUUGUACGCACGGAGGAUGGAGGGAUGACAUAAGUGGAAAGGAUGGCAGAGGGGCAAAAUGAAGGAGAGAUGACAAGCAAAGAAGCCAGUUGGAGGGAUGAUAGCGCAGAAGAGAAAGGAUGGAGGGAUGACUGGACGAAUGAUCAGAGGAGGACAGGUCGAAGACGGGGACAACAGAGGAGAUGAGAUGAAAAUUCGUUACUCCUCACUUUUCUCCUCCUCCUCCAUGUUUCCAGGCUUCUCCUGAACCCCGAACCCCUAUGUGACGGACAGCUCUCUUUGCCCGCCCUCCCUCCCCCAUCUGUCUCUCUUUUGAUCCCAGCAUUCCUCCUCCUUCUCCUCCAUCAUCCCUCGCUCUGUCUGCCUCCCUCAUUCCCACUGAUCCCACUGGAGACAAUGACUGGUGGCCAGCUGGUACCCGCGCACACACACGCGCGCACGCAUUCACAGGGGGCCUGGGGUGACAGCUUUGAGAGGAUGUUUAUUGUUACCAACAUGACUUUAAUCAGAUUUUACCUUCUCGACACACACACACACGCGCACGCACACACACAUUGUAUCAGCAUUGGUGUCAAUGAUGACCAAAACGACGCGACAUGGGGAAUUAUGGCCACAGUAUAAAUAUAAUCUGAGCACAAAAUGCAAAUUUGUGGCCACAAAGUAGAUGUGAUGUGUGCACAGAGUACAAAUGAAUAAUAUUACGAUCAUUCACGGACAGACGGGUCAGCAAAUCCAACGCACCUGCCCUAGAAACGGUAAGGCAGAGAACGUGGACUCUAUUGGAGUUCCGCGUUGGGCGCGAGGUGGCGUGUUGACUUCCAGUCCCCAAAUAAACGUAAAAGAGAGAAACGUGUUCAAACUCCAAGCCGCAUAUGAAUUAUUAUUAAUAUAUUGGUAUUUUGUGUGCGCAUUAUACCUGUUCCCGUAGCCACAAAAUAGCAUAUAGCAGCUCCAAUUUAGAUAUUUUCAGUGCGCACAUUCGAACUUUAGUGUGACCCCAAUUGAAUGUUUUUCCCACAUCAUGUGCAUCUCACAGUAAAAAAUAAAAUCCUCUCUAAAAUAA